Helobdella robusta is the source of this 72-nucleotide transfer RNA. It matches the Rfam family "tRNA". Rfam says of the family: Transfer RNA (tRNA) molecules are approximately 80 nucleotides in length. Their secondary structure includes four short double-helical elements and three loops (D, anti-codon, and T loops). The record is from Rfam. NCBI's taxonomy places the organism in Eukaryota, Metazoa, Annelida, Clitellata, Rhynchobdellida, Glossiphoniidae.
GGGGAUAUAGCUCAGUGGUAGAGCGCUUGCUUCGCAUGUAAGAGGCCGCGGGUUCAAGUCCCGCUAUCUCCA